UGGGUUAACGAAGCCCAGGGCUCACUUUGA
RNAcentral lists this non-coding RNA (30 nucleotides) under Homo sapiens (human). Lineage: Eukaryota; Metazoa; Chordata; Mammalia; Primates; Hominidae. The record is from RNAcentral.